Molecule: small nuclear RNA, 159 nt
Organism: Anolis carolinensis (green anole)
Lineage: Eukaryota; Metazoa; Chordata; Lepidosauria; Squamata; Anolidae
Gene: U2
Rfam family: U2 spliceosomal RNA
About the family: U2 is a small nuclear RNA (snRNA) component of the spliceosome (involved in pre-mRNA splicing). Complementary binding between U2 snRNA (in an area lying towards the 5' end but 3' to hairpin I) and the branchpoint sequence (BPS) of the intron results the bulging out of an unpaired adenosine, on the BPS, which initiates a nucleophilic attack at the intronic 5' splice site, thus starting the first of two transesterification reactions that mediate splicing.
Source: Ensembl
UUCGCUUCUCGGCCUUUUGGCUUAGAUCAAGUGUAGUAUCUGUUCUUAUCAGAUUAUUAUUAUUAUUAUUAUUAUUAUUAUUAUUAUUAUUAGAGUUACUUGAGAAAGAACUCAGCUGGCAGCAACAACUUUCAGUUUUUGAAGUCUUUCAGGUUUUUC